GGAGCGGUGUCCGAGUGGUUGAAGGAGGCGGUCUUGAAAACCGUUGAGCCGCAGGGUUCCGGGGGUUCGAAUCCCCCCUGCUCCG
Molecule: transfer RNA, 85 nt
Filed under: Treponema sp.
Lineage: Bacteria; Pseudomonadati; Spirochaetota; Spirochaetia; Treponematales; Treponemataceae
Description: tRNA-Ser
Rfam family: tRNA
About the family: Transfer RNA (tRNA) molecules are approximately 80 nucleotides in length.
Source: RNAcentral